RNAcentral lists this ribosomal RNA (252 nucleotides) under uncultured bacterium. RNAcentral describes it as "partial 16S ribosomal RNA". It matches the Rfam family "Bacterial small subunit ribosomal RNA", at positions 524 to 776 of the family's 1533-position model. The record is from RNAcentral.
UACGUAGGUCCCGAGCGUUGUCCGGAUUUAUUGGGCGUAAAGCGAGCGCAGGUGGUUUAUUAAGUCUGGUGUAAAAGGCAGUGGCUCAACCAUUGUAUGCAUUGGAAACUGGUAGACUUGAGUGCAGGAGAGGAGAGUGAAAUUCCAUGUGUAGCGGUGAAACGCGUAGAUAUAUGGAGGAACACCGGUGGCGAAAGCGGCUCUCUGGCCUGUAACUGACACUGAGGCUCGAAAGCGUGGGGAGCAAACAGG